Molecule: long non-coding RNA, 1419 nt
Filed under: Homo sapiens (human)
Lineage: Eukaryota; Metazoa; Chordata; Mammalia; Primates; Hominidae
Description: long intergenic non-protein coding RNA 2613
Source: RNAcentral
AGGAGGCCAGGAACCAUCUCUGCUGGAGGAAGACCCACCACGCAUCCCUUCAAGAAUGCCAAGGUCCAGAGCAAGUGCUUCCCUUCUAUGGGCACAGGAGGGCUGUGGGAGCCCACAGAAUGUGCUUCUGGCCAGAGUGGGAUCCCCGAGGAAGAUGUUAAGACCUCUAAUAAUAUUUAAGAGCAAAAUUAGCACAGCUCCAGCCCAUGGGCAAGUUAAGAGACAGGAGUAGUGUCUGUGGAGUGGAGGAAAGCAGAGGCUGCCGCUGACCAUCCUGCAGCCCUCGCUCUGGCUGCUCACAGCUCUCCACCUUCUCUGGACUUCGUCACUUCAGUAUGUGAAACAACCAUUUCAACCAGCUUGGACAAAAGAGAGAAGCCAAGAUGGGGCUGAGAAACCAAUGCAGGCAGGCCCAGGGACCCAGGAGUCAGGGACCAGGUGCUACCAGAUGCUUGCUCCGACUCGUGUUGCUGCUGUCUUCUCUGUGCCUCAACUCUGUCCUCUGUCACUGCAGGCAGCUUCCUCCCAAGGUGGGGAGAGAAUGAGGAAAAUGUGAGAGGCUGGAGACACUGGAGAGCCCUUGAGGAUCACCGGCCGGGAUGCGAGCAGGAGCUGAGGCAUCAGGAGUCGUGGAGAAUGAUGUGGCCUGGACGCUGGGCAGACUCUGCUCCUCAGAGCAAGAAGCAAAGGGGAAUUGCUUGAAAGGCGAGUGAUGUGUGGAAGAGGAAAGCAGGGCAGAGGGAAAACCUGGAGUGUGCCUAAUGGCUUUGACUUUCCUGACAAAGUUGGAAGGGAGGCUGAGGAUAGGAGGUCAGGAAAAGGCGAGGAAGGGGCUCCAGGAAGCUGCAGGAGAUGAAAUGUCUUGGGCAGCAGUCUCCAGUCCAACAGCAGAGGCAAACGGCAUUGUGAGCAGAACGAAGUAAUCAUUCAAAGCAAGAAUGCGUAUGUAGUUAGGUUCUGUGGUUUUCUAUGGCCAUCUCUUUAGCCUGGGAGCAAAAACUAGAGAAUGAGAGGCAGAGAGAGACCCCAGAUCAGACAUUUGCCUAAGACAAGGGACAAGAGUGAGGCACACAUGAGUCUAGACAUUGGAGCAAGGGGCUGCCCAUGGCAUGGGUAGCUGACAAGGAUUUGAGCAGGGCCACAGGGGGUGAACAGAAUGGAGACACUGAACUGCUUGCCGGGGAUUGGAGGAGUCAGCAAUGAGAUGUGGCCUUGGUGGUCUGGGGCGGCUAUGGAGAGAGGGAGAUUUGUGAAGCUCUCCAGGAACAAGUUGCUAUUUUAUUUUAUUUUACUAUUUUUUUCUUGAGAUGGAGUCUCACUCUGUUGCCCAGGCUGGAGUGCAAUGGCAUGAUCUUGGCUCACUGCAACCUCUGCCUCCAGGGUUCAAGUGAUUCUCCUGCCUCAGCCUCCUGAGUAGCU